RNAcentral lists this ribosomal RNA (207 nucleotides) under uncultured bacterium. RNAcentral describes it as "partial 16S ribosomal RNA". It matches the Rfam family "Bacterial small subunit ribosomal RNA", at positions 568 to 774 of the family's 1533-position model. The record is from RNAcentral.
CGUGUAGGCGGCUAGGUAGGUCCGCUGUGAAAACUCGAGGCUCAACCUCGAGAUGUCGGUGGAAACCAUCUGGCUAGAGUCCGGAAGAGGAGAGUGGAAUUCCUGGUGUAGCGGUGAAAUGCGCAGAUAUCAGGAAGAACACCCGUGGCGAAGGCGGCUCUCUGGGACGGUACUGACGCUGAGACGCGAAAGCGUGGGGAGCGAACA